Molecule: ribosomal RNA, 657 nt
Filed under: uncultured fungus
Lineage: Eukaryota; Fungi
Description: eukaryotic LSU rRNA
Rfam family: Eukaryotic large subunit ribosomal RNA
Source: RNAcentral
CCCGCUGAACUUAAGCAUAUCAAUAAGCGGAGGAAAAGAAACUAACAAGGAUUCCCCUAGUAACGGCGAGUGAAGCGGGAAGAGCUCAAAUUUGUAAUCUGGCGGUUUUCAAUCGUCCGAGUUGUAGUCUAGAGAAGUGUUUUCCGUGCUGGACCGUGUACAAGUCCCUUGGAACAGGGCGUCAUAGAGGGUGAGAAUCCCGUCUUUGACACGGACUCCCAGUGCUAUGUGAUACACUCUCAAAGAGUCGAGUUGUUUGGGAAUGCAGCUCAAAAUGGGUGGUAAAUUCCAUCUAAAGCUAAAUAUUGGUGGAAGACCGAUAGCGAACAAGUACCGUGAGGGAAAGAUGAAAAGCACUUUGGAAAGAGAGUUAAACAGUACGUGAAAUUGUUGAAAGGGAAACGCUUGAAGUCAGUCGCGUCUUUCAGGAUUCAGCUUGACUUUGGUCUUGUCUAUUUCCUGGCUGACGGGCCAGCAUCAAUUUUAAUCAUUGGAUAAAGUCUUUGGGAAUGUGGCACCUCCGGGUGUGUUAUAGCCCUUUGAUGUAUGUAAUGAUUGGGAUUGAGGACUGCAGCACGCCUUUAUGGCCGGGGUUCGCCCACGUACGUGCUUAGGAUGCUGGCGUAAUGGCUUUAAGCGACCCGUCUUGAAACACGG